This 447-nucleotide ribosomal RNA is filed under the name uncultured bacterium. RNAcentral describes it as "bacterial SSU rRNA". It matches the Rfam family "Bacterial small subunit ribosomal RNA", at positions 355 to 825 of the family's 1533-position model. The record is from RNAcentral.
UGGGGAAUCUUGGACAAUGGGCGCAAGCCUGAUCCAGCCAUGCCGCGUGAGUGAAGAAGGCCUUAGGGUUGUAAAACUCUUUCGCCGGAGAAGAUAAUGACGGUAUCCGGAGAAGAAGCCCCGGCUAACUUCGUGCCAGCAGCCGCGGUAAUACGAAGGGGGCUAGCGUUGUUCGGAAUUACUGGGCGUAAAGCGCACGUAGGCGGGUCUGUAAGUAGAGGGUGAAAUCCCAGGGCUCAACCCUGGAACUGCCUUCUAGACUGCAGGCCUGGAGGUCAGGAGAGGCGAGCGGAAUUCCGAGUGUAGAGGUGAAAUUCGUAGAUAUUCGGAGGAACACCAGUGGCGAAGGCGGCUCGCUGGACUGAUACUGACGCUGAGGUGCGAAAGCGUGGGGAGCAAACAGGAUUAGAUACCCCCGUAGUCCCUGAGCGGGCUGGCAAGGCGCAU